GUCGAUAGUGAGUUGCAUCUGCAUUAACUGGACUUCAGUUGCAUACAGACUAUUUUUCCUAAGAGAGAUAAAUCAUAUGUGACUCAAUGUUGUGAUCAAAUUAAUUUCCAAUAGGGAUUUUUGUGAUUACUUUGUUCUUAGAUGCAUUCGGUAUUUAUUGGAUUAUUACAACGCAUACGAAUAACAGCACUGCGUCGAAUAGCAGAAUCAGCAGUAGAACAGCUACGAGAAGCAUAAAUUAUACGAUAUUUAUAAUAUGAGUAAUUGACGACGGCGACAGUUUGAUUUGUUGAAAACAACUCCACGCGACAACGUGUGGCCCUACCUACCUGGGCUACACAAAAGUUCCAAAGUUCCUGCUAAGUUCCGGCACGGCUACCGGCUACAAAGGUAAUGAGUUAUUUCAGUGUCUUGUUUAUUUACAAAAUAUCACUACGUUUGAAGACGGACCAUCAAAAUGAGUCGUUAAACUGUAAAUUCCAUAAAAAGUGUUGUCGGCGUGUUGAUGACCUCCGUAAUUGAAGAGCAGAGACAAUGGACGGAACCCGACUGAAUUCGAUAGAUCCAACUGGACGUUUCGGAUUCUGUUCGGUGUCGAUCGUCUAUUGUUUCAUUCUUUAUUUGAAAAUAAUGCAAUCACGCUCUCCGUUCUUUUACAACACCAUUAUUAAGUUGGUUAGCAAUGAACCUUAAUUAUUGUAAAUUGAGAAUUGUUUAAUUUUAUAUUAUAGAAAUAUUGUAAAUGAUUGUGAUAUUUUAUGGCUUCUUAUUCUUCUUAACAAUUAUGAAUUAAUACAUUUAGUAAGUUUUAUAUAUUCUAGUAUUCACAUAAAAAAUAAUUAACAGUGUUACAGCAAAAUUAAUUCCUGAAUAAAUAAAUAUGUAUAUCAAAGUAAACAUCAAUAGGAUUACUGAAUUGGGUGAAUCAGUCAUUCGGUAAAAUAAUAUAACUUGUUAAACUGUCUACUUUGAUUUUCAAGGUGGCCGUAUAUUACUCAAGAGCUUUUCUUACGUUUCGGAAACCUUAAAUAUUCCAACUAGUUAUAACAGGGUAAAUUUAUUUUAGAAACAACCUGCGUAUUCCUGCGUAUGAAUUACUUUCGGUAUUAAAUACAAAUACCGUAUGAAUUACUUUCGGUAUUAAAUACAAAUGCAGUCAUUGCAUUCAUAAUAAUAUAGCAAACAAUAAACGAAUCCGACAUCAAAUGCAUCAUUCUAUUCAGAAAAGCAAAUCUUCAAAGAGUUAAAGAACACAACGCCCUAACGUUCCGUUCUCCACGGCAUCGGCAACGUAACCCGAUCUUCGUUUAUCUGCCGUCGAGCAAUUAUUGAAGCGUGAAAAGGAGCGACCUCCUAUUAUUUACACACGUUUUGUAAUGCGGGCAUUCCGUUUUUGAAAAAUAUUGCAUUUCCUAGCAAGCAACGACAUGCAGGGGUUGCAUUAUAUCCUACUAAGUAUCUACUGCUUUACUGCACUACUGCUACCCUAUUCGUUUGCACGUCCACUACGUGCAGUGCACGGAUUUUGCAAGGAUUUAUCUAUAAAGUUAUAUAUCUAUAAUACAUACGUAUACCUGCACGCAAUUUUUUCAAGUACCUGAAUAUGAAUGGGUUAAAAAAAGCAAUAUUAAGAAGUAACUGACCAUGUUCGAUCUGCGCAGUGAAAGUUUUCCGUUAAACAUAUAAAUAUAUCAUUGUAUCGUUACAUAAAUGAAAUUGUGGUACAACUAAUACAAUUACGGGCUUUAAUUAAUUAAUUAAACGAAUCCGACAUCACAUUUAUAAUGGUAUGACAUCCGACAUUUUAAUGGUAUGUAAUUGUGUGUAUACAAAUAUUUUCUAAUUCAGUAAAUCUUCACUCAUAUUAGGCUACUCUUUUUCCCGCUUAUUAAUAAAUUUGACUGACAUUGACGAAGUAAUUAAUCGUUACUCAAUAUUAGAAAUUAUUAAAUGAACGAAUUACUUAUAAUUAAAUGAAGUAAACGUUUCGGAAAUGUUGCGUUAUAGGUAUUUCAUUAGCUUUUUUCUUAUACUGUGUGUUAUGUAACUAUCUAGUCUACCUAGCAUACUUAAUAAUAUAUGAAACUUAUUAACUUAGGUUUUUUAUAAUGUGGUGUAUGUUUUUGUAUGUUUUUUUUUGUAUUUUAUUUGUAUAUUUUGGUGGACGACCUGUCUGGCCUAGUGAGUAGUGACCCUGCCUAUGAAGCCGAUGGUCCCGGGUUCAGAUCCUGGUAAGGGCAUUUAUUCAUGUGAUGAGCAUGGAUAUUUGUUCCUGAGUCAUGGGUGUUUUAUAUGUAAUAAUAUAUCCAUAGUUGUAUGUAUUUUGAAUAUAAAUUGAAAUAAAUUUAAAUAAUACUUGCAUCGCAUUGCCGCAAUAAACGUUUCCUUGUGUAAAAGUACGAAUGAAUUGCAAACGCUAUUAUAAUUGUUUCACGUAUGACAAAGGUUAAAGACAAAGAUAAUAAUUACAAGUGAGUAUGGUAUGAUUAGGUAGGCGACUACUUAAAGUCAGAGCGUUUGUAUUCAUUCAUUAUACUUAAACCAUCGUGAGUAAUCCCAAUAUCAAAAUCAAUAAAUCUACAUAGUUCCGAUUCGAUAUCAAAAUAUCCAUGUGAGUAGGUAACUACAAUACGAUUCCUAAAACCCCUGAUACACCUAAUAUUUUACUAACGAAAACAUAGUCAAGGUGCUUUAAUCCGUACAAUUUAAAUCAGUACGAGUACUAAAAUUAAAAUAUUGUUAAAGGUUUAUUUUCAUUAUUACGUCACAGUUACAACUAACUACGGGUGUGUAAUGUUUAAUAUAAUUAUAAUAAAACUAUCAUACACUUGCCAUAGUGUCAUUUCAUAUAUUAUUACUUGUUAUAAUGUACAAUAUAAUACACUCUUUAUUGCACUCCUCAAUACAGAAAUAGUACAAAGAAUACAGCACAUUAAGAAGAGGUUUUAAACAAUAGGCGGUCUUAUCGCUAAAAAAGCUCUUCGUGACAACCUAUUGUUAUUAGACAUUGAUUUUGUUAUAUUAUGAUUUAAUCUAAACCGUAAUUGAUAUAAUGCCUAUUUUUAUAUAAUUUUAACUAGUAUAUACAUAUUGUAUCAUGGAUUUUGUUAUAUUAUAUUUUAAUACACCUAAUAUUUUAUACAACAAAAAAAUAUUUUUUAUAUGGGGUCGCAGUUCCAACCUAACCUAACCCACUUUUUGCAAGAUAUUAGUUUGUAUGGGCUCAUAGUUUUAACCUACGUAGCUUUAUUUGACGUUCAUAAGCGCAUUGUAAUAUAUGCCUACUUGAUAAUAAACUAUCUUUAUCUUUUACCUAACCAAAUUUUCUAUUUAUAUUCAGACCUACAUGUAAUUAUAUAAUGUCACUAAUUAGAAAAAGUAUG
Molecule: long non-coding RNA, 3383 nt
Organism: Cydia pomonella (codling moth)
Lineage: Eukaryota; Metazoa; Arthropoda; Insecta; Lepidoptera; Tortricidae
Exons: 3
Source: RefSeq, a predicted model, not a curated record